Long non-coding RNA from Canis lupus familiaris (dog), 1241 nucleotides. RefSeq lists it as uncharacterized. The record is from RefSeq and is a predicted model, not a curated record. Lineage: Eukaryota; Metazoa; Chordata; Mammalia; Carnivora; Canidae. The transcript has 5 exons.
GUGCGGUGGAGGCCAGCCCAGGGCCUGGGGGAGCCGCCCAGGUCCCAGGCCUCUUACUCCUGGCUCUUAGCUCACAAUCCCCGAGAGGCAGGGGAGGGGCAGGGGGCUCUAGUUGGCAGGAAGAGGGGCUUCAAUCUGCCGAGGAGCCCUAGGCCACCCUGCGGGAGCCUUGGGGAAUAGAGAGAUCUGGGAGGAGGCCACUGGUCUCUCCAUUGUGGCCAGCAAGGGAAGGCUUGGGAGAACUGCUUAGGCAUAUGAGGGGAAAGAGGAGCGUGUCCUGAGUGGUGACCAGCCACCUGCACCGUGCUCAGUGCUUUACAGACAUUAUCAUCAUCUUACUGGACUUUCUCACAUGUUCUCAACACUGUGAGCUCUUUGGACACAGGUGCCUGUUUUGCUCAGCUGUGUGUUUCUCCAGAACCUGGAACCUAGAAGGCACUUACUGCUUAUCCAUUGGUUGAGUGACAGAGCGCUGUGGCAGUGAUUCCAAGAUCUGCUCAAUGACUUCUGCCUUCUGGUAUCCACGCCCUUGUGUAAUUCCCUCCUGAGUGUGGGCUUGCCUAUGACUUGCUCCUAAAUGACAGGAUACAGCCAAAGGAGAGGUCACUCCUGUGAUUCAGGCUACACAAGACUGGGGUGCCUGGGUGGCUCAGUCGAUUGGGUGUCUGCCUUCAGCUCAGGUCAUGGUCCCAGGGUCCUGGGAUCAAGCCCCGCAUCAGGCCAUCAGGGAGCCCGCUUCUCUCUCUUUCUCUAAUAAAUAAAUGAAAUCUUAAAAAAAAAAAAUUAGACAAGACUGUAACUUCCGUCCUGCUGGCAGACUUGCCCGUGUGGGCUUUCAUAAAGUUGCUGUGUCGAGGAGACCCAUGUGGCAAGGAACUCAAGUCAAUGUUUGAUUACUAGCCUGUGGGUAAACAGAGUCAGCCCCCUCAAUCCAACACCCUUGAGGAACUGAAAUUCUGCGGACAACUUAAGUCAGCUUGGACAUAGGUCCUCCUCCAGCCUUCAAAUGAGAACCCAGACCUGACCAAUAAUCGGAACCCAGACCUGACCAAUAAUCGGACCGUGGCCCAUGAAGCCGAGGGCCCGGGCAGGUGUGCCUCAGCUCCUGACCCAGAGAAACCAUGAAAUCAUAAAUGUGUGUUCAUUUAAAACACCAUGGGGAUCCCUGGGUGGCGCAGCGGUUUGGCGCCUGCCUUUGGCCCAGGGCGCGAUCCUGGAGACCCGGGAUCGAAUCCCACGUC